This 672-nucleotide ribosomal RNA is filed under the name Triticum aestivum (bread wheat). RNAcentral describes it as "partial small subunit ribosomal RNA". The record is from RNAcentral. Lineage: Eukaryota; Viridiplantae; Streptophyta; Magnoliopsida; Poales; Poaceae.
AUGUCGACCGCCGGCGACGUGGAGGUGGAAGUGCACGAGGAAGACCGGGAAGGCGGCGGCAGUAACCCGGGGAGGUGCGCGGCGUGCAAGUACCUGCGCCGGCGGUGCGCCCACGACUGCGUGCUCGCCCCCUACUUCCCGGCGUGGCAGCCCCACCGCUACGCCUCCGUCCACCGGGUCUUCGGCGCCAGCAACGUCGCCAGGUUGCUUCAGAGCUUGCCGGUCGGUGAGAGAGCUCAGGCGGCGGAGGCGAUGGCGAUGGAGGCGCAGUGGCGGGUGGAGGACCCGGUGUACGGAUGCGCCGGGAUCAUCAGCCGGCUGCAGGAGGAGAUUCCGGCCACGCAGUGCGAGCUCGCCAGGACGCGGGCGCAGCUCGCCAUCGUCCCCGCGCACGGUGCGCAGCUGCAGGGUUCCACGGCUGCUCUUCCGCCACAGCGAGACGACGGCCACCGCGUCCCCGUCACGCAGAUGCAAGGCCAAGGGCAGGGAGAGGCAGACGACGGCCACCGCGUCGCCGUCACGCAGAUGCAGGGGAAGGAAGAGGGGGUGCCGUUGCUUGACCCGGACGACGGCCAGCGCGUCCCCGUCGCGCAGAUGCAGGGGCAGGGGGGAGAGGCGGUGACGCUGCUUGACCCGGACGCGUUCCGGAACUCGACGGGCUCUGAGCUCUGA